GGACUUUUAAGUCAGGGGUGAAAUCGCGGGGCUCAUCCGCGGAAACUGCCUUUGAUACUGGAAGUCUUGAGUAUGGUAGAGGUGAGGGGGAACUCCGAGUGUAGAGGUGACAUUNGUAGAUAUUCGGAGGAACACCAGUGGCGAAGGCGGCUCACUGGACCAUUAUUGACGCUGAGGUGCGAAAGCGUGGGAGCAAACAGGAUUAGAUACCUUGGUAGUCCACGCCGUAAACGAUGAAUGUUAGCCGUUGUCAAGUUUACUCUUCUGUGGCGCAGCUAACGCAUUAAACAUUCCGCUGGGGAGUCCUGUCGCAAAAUUAAAACUCACAGGAANUUGANGGGGGCCCGCACAAGCGGGGGAGCA
Molecule: ribosomal RNA, 363 nt
Filed under: Brucella anthropi
Lineage: Bacteria; Pseudomonadati; Pseudomonadota; Alphaproteobacteria; Hyphomicrobiales; Brucellaceae
Description: bacterial SSU rRNA
Rfam family: Bacterial small subunit ribosomal RNA
Source: RNAcentral